This 407-nucleotide ribosomal RNA is filed under the name uncultured bacterium. RNAcentral's name for it is "partial 16S ribosomal RNA". It matches the Rfam family "Bacterial small subunit ribosomal RNA", at positions 28 to 526 of the family's 1533-position model. The record is from RNAcentral.
GACGAACGCUGGCGGCGGGCCUAAUACAUGCAAGUAGAACGCCGUUGCGCACGGGUGAGGAACGCGUAGGUAACUGCCUCAUAGCGGGGGAUAACCAAUGGAAACGAUAGAUAAUACCGCAUACUGUGAGAUGGACCUGUUUUUUAUUAGUGAGUUGGUGAGGUAAAGGCUCACCAAGGCGACGAUACAUAGCCGACCUGAGACGGUGUUCUGCCCCACUGGGACUGAGACACGGCCCAGACUCUCACUGGAGGCCGCAGUUGGGAAUCUUCGGCCAUUGACGGCAGUCUGACCGAGCAACUCCGCGUGAGUGCAGAAGUUUUUCGGAUCGUUAAGCUCUGUUGUUAGAGAAGCGUUACCUAACCAGAAAGGGACGGCUAACUCCGUGCCAGCAGCCGCGGUAAUUC